ACCUCUCCUGUGGCCUCUGGGAUGGCAAUAAAAUUUGAAGGAGUUCUUUCUCCUACAAACCAUUGGUACUUCAAGACCACAUCCGAAUUGCUGCUCCCAAAUAUAACCAAGCUCAAACGGAUGAGAUCCAUGGCAACCUGCUUUGGUUUGGCAAAAUCGACAAUGGUAGUCAAUGCUUGCUUGAGAUCACAUCACGGGCACCCCAUCCAGCUCUUCAUCCCACCACAAAUGUUAUUUAAGUGUCGCAAUUAUAAUGCCAUCUUAUAAGGCCCAUACUGUACAGUGAAGGAAAAGAACGGAUUUUUUUCAGGCACUGGACUUCCGUGCAUACCCAGUCUCUUCUUCAUUCAUGAGUUGUAACUAUCUUUUGUUUGC
Rhododendron vialii is the source of this 375-nucleotide long non-coding RNA. RefSeq lists it as uncharacterized. The record is from RefSeq and is a predicted model, not a curated record. Lineage: Eukaryota; Viridiplantae; Streptophyta; Magnoliopsida; Ericales; Ericaceae. The transcript is spliced from 3 exons.